AUGCUUACCGGGCAGGGAAGAUACCAUGGUUGUAAAGGUUGUUUUCCCAGGGAGAGGCUUAUCCACUGUACUCUGGAUUGGCUGAUCUCUGUAAUUUCCUCCAAUGUGGGAAACUGGACUAUAAUCGGUGGUAGACGGGGAGCAUUUGUGCUCUCCCCUU
This is a small nuclear RNA of Apodemus sylvaticus (European woodmouse), 160 nucleotides long. RefSeq annotates it as U1 spliceosomal RNA. Lineage: Eukaryota; Metazoa; Chordata; Mammalia; Rodentia; Muridae. The transcript has a single exon. The record is from RefSeq and is a predicted model, not a curated record.